UGGGGAAUAUUGCACAAUGGGCGUAAGCCUGAUGCAGCGACGCCGCGUGGGGGAUGAAGGCCUUCGGGUUGUAAACUCCUUUCGACAGGGACGAAGCUUUUGUGACGGUACCUGUAUAAGAAGCACCGGCUAACUACGUGCCAGCAGCCGCGGUAAUACGUAGGGUGCGAGCGUUGUCCGGAAUUACUGGGCGUAAAGAGCUCGUAGGUGGUUUGUCGCGUCGUCUGUGAAAUUCCGGGGCUUAACUCCGGGCGUGCAGGCGAUACGGGCUGACUUGAGUGCUGUAGGGGAGACUGGAAUUCCUGGUGUAGCGGUGAAAUGCGCAGAUAUCAGGAGGAACACCGAUGGCGAAGGCAGGUCUCUGGGCAGUAACUGACGCUGAGGAGCGAAAGCAUGGGUAGCGAACAGG
Molecule: ribosomal RNA, 409 nt
Filed under: Actinomycetes bacterium
Lineage: Bacteria; Bacillati; Actinomycetota; Actinomycetes
Description: Actinobacteria bacterium partial 16S ribosomal RNA
Rfam family: Bacterial small subunit ribosomal RNA
Source: RNAcentral